GACGAACGCUGGCGGCGUGCUUAAUACAUGCAAGUCGAGCGAGGUUACUGUUUUGGAUCCCUUCGGGGUGAAGAAGCUUUAACCUAGCGGCGGACGGGUGAGUAACGCGUGGGUAACCUACCCCAAAGUCCGGGAUAACAGCGGGAAACCGCUGCUAAUACCGGAUGUCUUUACCUUGGGGCAUCUUGAGGUAAAGAAAGGUAACGCUUUGGGAUGGGCCCGCGUCCCAUUAGCUAGUUGGUGAGGUAACGGCUCACCAAGGCGACGAUGGGUAGCCGGCCUGAGAGGGUGGACGGCCACACUGGGACUGAGACACGGCCCAGACUCCUACGGGAGGCAGCAGUAGGGAAUAUUGCGCAAAUGGACGGAAGUCUGACGCAGCGACGCCGCGUGAGCGAUGAAGGUCUUCGGAUCGUAAAAGCUCUGUCCUUGGGGAAGAAAGGUCUUCGGACUUGACGGUACCCAAGAAGAAAGCCCCGGCUAAACUACGUG
This 492-nucleotide ribosomal RNA is filed under the name uncultured bacterium. RNAcentral describes it as "bacterial SSU rRNA". It matches the Rfam family "Bacterial small subunit ribosomal RNA", at positions 28 to 507 of the family's 1533-position model. The record is from RNAcentral.